Molecule: ribosomal RNA, 261 nt
Filed under: uncultured bacterium
Lineage: Bacteria
Description: partial 16S ribosomal RNA
Rfam family: Bacterial small subunit ribosomal RNA
Source: RNAcentral
GUCCACGCCGUAAACGGUGGGCACUAGGUGUGGGGCCAUUCCACGGUCUCUGUGCCGCAGCUAACGCAUUAAGUGCCCCGCCUGGGGAGUACGGCCGCAAGGCUAAAACUCAAAGGAAUUGACGGGGCCCGCACAAGCGGCGGAGCAUGUGGAUUAAUUCGAUGCAACGCGAAGAACCUUACCUGGGUUUGACAUGCACCAGACGCGUUCAGAGAUGGGCGUUCCCUUGUGGUUGGUGUGCAGGUGGUGCAUGGCUGUCGU